This is a non-coding RNA of Cajanus cajan (pigeon pea), 1748 nucleotides long. The record is from RefSeq and is a predicted model, not a curated record. NCBI's taxonomy places the organism in Eukaryota, Viridiplantae, Streptophyta, Magnoliopsida, Fabales, Fabaceae.
GGUAGCUUCCUUUGCACAGAUCCUACCGGUAUAAAUAGGACUUCACAAUUUCUUAGUUAGAUUUUCAAUGUAACUAUUCUUGAAUCAAUAAUAUCAUAUUCAUUUUACCUCUCUCUGACUCUCAAAUAUGGUAUCAAGAGCUCAAGAAUCCAAGGCCUCUCAAUUCCUUUCUUUCUCCGACGGCAAAUUCUUCUGAACUACCACCAUCCUUGCCGCAAUCCACGAUGGUUCCCCAUCUGCUCCGCUCACGUUCUCACAUUCGAUCAUAGAGAAACUUACAAAAGGCAACUUUCUACUCUAGCGUCAAUAGAUUGAACUGUAAUCAAAAGCCACAAACUGCACUCGUAUAUUCUCAAUCCUAGCAUUCCACCAAGAUUUAUUUCCGAAGAAGAUUGAUCCAAUGGAUCUGUCAGUCCAGCGUACCAGUCUUGGGAGCAACAAGAUCAGCUACUCCUUUUUUUGGCUUCAAUCGACCUUGACAAGCAGUAUUUUCACACAAAUUAUUGGUUGUGUUCACUCCUCGAAACUAUGGGACAAACUUCAUGAGCAUUUAAAUGCUCAUAUGCAGGCUCGUGCGAAUCAAUUGUGCAUUGAGUUACGUCACACCACACUCAAAGGCAAGACUAUGGUUGAAUUUCUUGCGCUUGUGAAAGCCUUGUUGUGUCGCUCUCCUAUAUUGGAGGUUUGGUGUCAUCGCGUGAACAUCUUGAUGUUCCCCCCCAAGGAUUACCUCGUGAUUGUGAGUCCAUUUUACCUUGAUCAACAACAAACUUGCAUCUCUACUUCCUGAAGUUGGAGCUCUCUUGCUGGCUCAUGAAGCUCAUCUCAAGCAAUACAACAAACACGUAGCGACUGACUCAAUCUCUAUCAAUCUCACUCAGACUACAAAUUCUAAGGUCCCUCGACAAGCUAUGAUGAUUUCUGAUUCCGCUCAAUCACAACCCUCUCCCAAUAAUUCAUAUAACAAUUACUUAGUCAAUGACUAUUCGACCAACUUUUGAGGUUCCAAUCGCUUUCGUGGAACAGGCAGAUUCGGUCAUGGUCGAGGACAUGGUGGACAAGCCUGACUGCAAUGCCAAGUCUGUUCAAAUCGAGUCGCUUCUCCCAAAAUAUACCAUAUCCCUAUGUUCAACCUACUCAUUCAAUGAUGCAACCAGGUUUGCAAUCCUUCAUACCACCAUUGUACAUCUCAAGCUUUAAUUGUGAACACCGAAUCAGAAUUCAACAUUCCCUCUCAAUAAUAGUUCUGUCAACAUUCGGCAAUAUCAAUCGUUUGAAGGUCUUGAUCAGAUACAAAGAGGCAAUGGCCAAGGUUUGAGCAUCAACACAUUGGGUUCAAUUGUUUUUACAUCAUCAUUGUGUCCUAAUACCUCUUUCAUUCUCAAAAUUUACUGCAUGUUCCCCAUAUCUCUAAGAAUUUACUUAGCGUAAGUAAAUUUGCCAGGGACAAUUCAAUAUACUUUGAGUUUCACCCUGAUAUUUGUCUUGUCAAGUGGCCACGUUGAAGCUGAUGGCCUCUGAGUUUUCAAAUUAACUCAAACAGUCUUUGCAUUCUUCCUGGACUAGUGUUUCAACAAUGAAUACUAUGAAAUUGAUGGCCACAUUGUACUCAGAUGUAAAUGCAUCAAAAAAUUAUGUUUCCAUUUUGAUUUGGUAUAACAGAUUAGGACAUCCUAAUGUACAUGCUAUAAAAUUGGCUCUAUCACAAUGUAACAUUUCUCUACCAAAUAAAAAUGUGUUUGAUUUUU